RNAcentral lists this ribosomal RNA (412 nucleotides) under Wolbachia sp. RNAcentral's name for it is "bacterial SSU rRNA". It matches the Rfam family "Bacterial small subunit ribosomal RNA", at positions 1005 to 1415 of the family's 1533-position model. Lineage: Bacteria; Pseudomonadati; Pseudomonadota; Alphaproteobacteria; Rickettsiales; Anaplasmataceae. The record is from RNAcentral.
AGGGAUAGGGUCGGUUCGGCCGGAUUUCACACAGGUGUUGCAUGGCUGUCGUCAGCUCGUGUCGUGAGAUGUUGGGUUAAGUCCCGCAACGAGCGCAACCCUCAUCCUUAGUUACCAUCAGGUAAUGCUGGGGACUUUAAGGAAACUGCCAGUGAUAAACUGGAGGAAGGUGGGGAUGAUGUCAAGUCAUCAUGGCCCUUAUGGAGUGGGCUACACACGUGCUACAAUGGUGGCUACAAUGGGCUGCAAAGUCGCGAGGCUAAGCUAAUCCCUUAAAAGCCAUCUCAGUUCGGAUUGUGCUCUGCAACUCGAGUACAUGAAGUUGGAAUCGCUAGUAAUCGUGGAUCAGCAUGCCACGGUGAAUACGUUCUCGGGUCUUGUACACACUGCCCGUCACGCCAUGGGAAUUGGU